GUAGGUGGCAAGCGUUGUCCGGAAUUAUUGGGCGUAAAGCGCGCGCAGGCGGUUCUUUAAGUCUGAUGUGAAAGCCCACGGCUCAACCGUGGAGGGUCAUUGGAAACUGGAGAACUUGAGUACAGAAGAGGAAAGCGGAAUUCCACGUGUAGCGGUGAAAUGCGUAGAGAUGUGGAGGAACACCAGUGGCGAAGGCGGCUUUCUGGUCUGUAACUGACGCUGAGGCGCGAAAGCGUGGGGAGCAAACAGGAUUAGAUACCCUGGUAGUCCACGCCGUAAAUGAUGAGUGCUAAGUGUUAGGGGGUUUCCGCCCCUUAGUGCUGCAGCUAACGCAUUAAGCACUCCGCCUGGGAGUACGGCCGCAAGGCUG
RNAcentral lists this ribosomal RNA (370 nucleotides) under uncultured organism. RNAcentral describes it as "partial 16S ribosomal RNA". It matches the Rfam family "Bacterial small subunit ribosomal RNA", at positions 527 to 896 of the family's 1533-position model. The record is from RNAcentral.